This 675-nucleotide ribosomal RNA is filed under the name uncultured Staphylococcus sp. RNAcentral describes it as "bacterial SSU rRNA". It matches the Rfam family "Bacterial small subunit ribosomal RNA", at positions 62 to 719 of the family's 1533-position model. Lineage: Bacteria; Bacillati; Bacillota; Bacilli; Caryophanales; Staphylococcaceae. The record is from RNAcentral.
UCGAGCGAACAGACGAGGAGCUUGCUCCUCUGACGUUAGCGGCGGACGGGUGAGUAACACGUGGAUAACCUACCUAUAAGACUGGGAUAACUUCGGGAAACCGGAGCUAAUACCGGAUAAUAUAUUGAACCGCAUGGUUCAAUAGUGAAAGACGGUUUUGCUGUCACUUAUAGAUGGAUCCGCGCCGCAUUAGCUAGUUGGUAAGGUAACGGCUUACCAAGGCAACGAUGCGUAGCCGACCUGAGAGGGUGAUCGGCCACACUGGAACUGAGACACGGUCCAGACUCCUACGGGAGGCAGCAGUAGGGAAUCUUCCGCAAUGGGCGAAAGCUUGACGGAGCAACGCCGCGUGAGUGAUGAAGGUCUUCGGAUCGUAAAACUCUGUUAUUAGGGAAGAACAAAUGUGUAAGUAACUAUGCACGUCUUGACGGUACCUAAUCAGAAAGCCACGGCUAACUACGUGCCAGCAGCCGCGGUAAUACGUAGGUGGCAAGCGUUAUCCGGAAUUAUUGGGCGUAAAGCGCGCGUAGGCGGUUUUUUAAGUCUGAUGUGAAAGCCCACGGCUCAACCGUGGAGGGUCAUUGGAAACUGGAAAACUUGAGUGCAGAAGAGGAAAGUGGAAUUCCAUGUGUAGCGGUGAAAUGCGCAGAGAUAUGGAGGAACACCAGUGGCGAA